GUAACACAUUAUUUAGAAAAGUAGAGUGACUUUCACAAUGAAAUAGAGCAACUUGCAUCAAUCACCUAUUCAUUUUUUAUUAACCUUAAGUUUGUGACCUAGGGUAACACACAAUCACAAAAAUCAUCAAUGCACUUCGAAACAUUAGGAAGUUCACAUGGCCAUUGAACAUCACAAUCUUCGUCCCGAUGGCAAGGAGCUUUAUCUACAAUGUCAAAUAGUAAAUAAAAUAAAUAUUGUUACUAUCGUUUAUAUUGUUAAAGAGAAAUUUUUUAUAAUGGUGUGAAGAAAUGACUUACGAAUUAUAAUUGCUACACGAAUUUGGCAAGAAAUAUAGGUUACAAGAAGAAACAUAGAAAGAAAUAUUAUUAAAGCAUAAGUAAACUUUUGAAUUUGAGCCAUAUCUUUCUUUCUUUGCA
Molecule: long non-coding RNA, 419 nt
Filed under: Trifolium pratense (red clover)
Lineage: Eukaryota; Viridiplantae; Streptophyta; Magnoliopsida; Fabales; Fabaceae
Description: long non-coding RNA (TPRA_LNC009340)
Source: RNAcentral